CCUACGGGAGGCAGCAGUCGAGAAUCAUUCACAAUGGGGGAAACCCUGAUGGUGCGACGCCGCGUGGGGGAAUGAAGGUCUUCGGAUUGUAAACCCCUGUCAUGUGGGAGCAAAUUAAAAAGAUAGUACCACAAGAGGAAGAGACGGCUAACUCUGUGCCAGCAGCCGCGGUAAUACAGCGGGCUCAAGCGUUAUUCGGAAUCACUGGGCGGAAAGCGUGCGUAGGCUGUUUCGUAAGUCGUGUGUGAAAGGCGCGGGCUCAACCCGCGGACGGCACAUGAUACUGGGAGACUAGAGUAAUGGAGGGGGAACCGGAAUUCUUGGUGUAGCAGUGAAAUGCGUAGAUAUCGAGAGGAACACUCGUGGCGAAGGCGGGUUCCUGGACAUUAACUGACGCUGAGGCACGAAGGCCAGGGGAGCGAAAGGGAUUAGAUACCCGAGUAGUC
This 446-nucleotide ribosomal RNA is filed under the name uncultured bacterium. RNAcentral describes it as "partial 16S ribosomal RNA". It matches the Rfam family "Bacterial small subunit ribosomal RNA", at positions 338 to 795 of the family's 1533-position model. The record is from RNAcentral.